RNAcentral lists this ribosomal RNA (767 nucleotides) under uncultured bacterium. RNAcentral's name for it is "bacterial SSU rRNA". It matches the Rfam family "Bacterial small subunit ribosomal RNA", at positions 28 to 776 of the family's 1533-position model. The record is from RNAcentral.
GAUAAACGCUGGCGGCGCAUAUAAGACAUGCAAGUCGAACGGAAGUCGUUAUAAAAAGGAUUGAAGAUUUAUCUGAUUGAGAUUUUAUAACAAUGGCUUUAGUGGCGGACUGGUGAGUAACGCGUGAGCAACCUGCCUACUAGAGGGGAAUAACAGUGAGAAAUCAUUGCUAAUACCGCAUAUGCCAUGAACAUCACAUGAUGAAAAUGGGAAAAGAGUAAUCUGCUAGUAGAUGGGCUCGCGUCUGAUUAGAUAGUUGGUGGGGUAACGGCCUACCAAGUCGACGAUCAGUAGCCGGACUGAGAGGUUGAACGGCCACAUUGGGACUGAGAUACGGCCCAGACUCCUACGGGAGGCAGCAGUCGGGAAUAUUGCGCAAUGGAGGAAACUCUGACGCAGUGACGCCGCGUAUAGGAAGAAGGUUUUCGGAUUGUAAACUAUUGUCGUUAGGGAAGAUAUAAGACAGUACCUAAGGAGGAAGCUCCGGCUAACUACGUGCCAGCAGCCGCGGUAAUACGUAGGGAGCAAGCGUUAUCCGGAUUUAUUGGGUGUAAAGGGUGCGUAGACGGGACAACAAGUUAGUUGUGAAAUCCCUCGGCUUAACUGAGGAACUGCAACUAAAACUAUUGUUCUUGAGUGUUGGAGAGGAAAGUGGAAUUCCUAGUGUAGCGGUGAAAUGCGUAGAUAUUAGGAGGAACACCGGUGGCGAAGGCGACUUUCUGGACAAUAACUGACGUUGAGGCACGAAAGUGUGGGGAGCAAACAGG